This 727-nucleotide ribosomal RNA is filed under the name uncultured cyanobacterium. RNAcentral's name for it is "bacterial SSU rRNA". It matches the Rfam family "Bacterial small subunit ribosomal RNA", at positions 66 to 836 of the family's 1533-position model. Lineage: Bacteria; Bacillati; Cyanobacteriota. The record is from RNAcentral.
ACGGAAUCCUUAGGGAUUUAGUGGCGGACGGGUGAGUAACGCGUGAGAAUCUGCCUUCAGGUUCGGGACAACCACUGGAAACGGUGGCUAAUACCGAAUGUGCAGCAAUGUGAAAAAUUUAUUGCCUGGAGAUGAGCUCGCGUCUGAUUAGCUAGUAGGUGUGGUAAUAGCGCACCUAGGCGACGAUCAGUAGCUGGUCUGAGAGGAUGAUCAGCCACACUGGGACUGAGACACGGCCCAGACUCCUACGGGAGGCAGCAGUGGGGAAUUUUCCGCAAUGGGCGAAAGCCUGACGGAGCAAUACCGCGUGAGGGAGGAAGGCUCUUGGGUUGUAAACCUCUUUUCUCAGGGAAGAAUAAAUGACGGUACCUGAGGAAUAAGCAUCGGCUAACUCCGUGCCAGCAGCCGCGGUAAUACGGAGGAUGCAAGCGUUAUCCGGAAUGAUUGGGCGUAAAGCGUCCGCAGGUGGCUAUGUAAGUCUGCUGUUAAAGAGUCUGGCUCAACCAGAUAAAGGCAGUGGAAACUACAUGGCUAGAGUGCGUUCGGGGCAGAGGGAAUUCCUGGUGUAGCGGUGAAAUGCGUAGAGAUCAGGAAGAACACCGGUGGCGAAAGCGCUCUGCUAGGCCGCAACUGACACUGAGGGACGAAAGCUAGGGGAGCGAAUGGGAUUAGAUACCCCAGUAGUCCUAGCCGUAAACGAUGGAUACUAGGCGUGGCUUGUAUCGAC